UACGUAGGGGGCUAGCGUUGUCCGGAAUCAUUGGGCGUAAAGCGCGCGUAGGUGGCCCCAUAAGUCCGCUGUGAAAGUCAAAGGCUCAACCUUUGAAAGCCGGUGGAUACUGUGGGACUAGAGUACGGAAGAGGCGAGUGGAAUUCCUGGUGUAGCGGUGGAAUGCGCAGAUAUCAGGAGGAACACCAAUAGCGAAGGCAGCUCGCUGGGACGUUACUGACACUGAGGCGCGAAAGCGUGGGGAGCGAACAGG
Molecule: ribosomal RNA, 253 nt
Filed under: uncultured bacterium
Lineage: Bacteria
Description: partial 16S ribosomal RNA
Rfam family: Bacterial small subunit ribosomal RNA
Source: RNAcentral